GCCUCGAUAGUGCAAUAAUUUGGGUAGCACGCCCCCCCCCCCCCCCGAAGGGUCAGAUGCGGGUUCGAUUCUUGUUUGAGGUU
This is a non-coding RNA of Parelaphostrongylus tenuis, 83 nucleotides long. The record is from the annotation of a GenBank genome assembly. Lineage: Eukaryota; Metazoa; Nematoda; Chromadorea; Rhabditida; Metastrongylidae.